ACGUAGGAGGCGAGCGUUAUCCGGAUUUACUGGGUGUAAAGCGCGUGCAGGCGGUUCUGCAAGUGGGACGUGAAAGCGCCCGGCUUAACCGGGAGAGGACGUGCGAGACUGUCGGACUAGAGGCAGGUAGAGGCAAGUGGAAUUCCGGGUGUAGUGGUGAAAUGCGUAGAGAUCCGGAGGAACCCCGGUGGCGAAGGCGACUUGCUGGGCCUGAACUGACGCUCAGACGCGAAAGCAUGGGGAGCGAACGG
This 251-nucleotide ribosomal RNA is filed under the name uncultured prokaryote. RNAcentral's name for it is "partial 16S ribosomal RNA". It matches the Rfam family "Bacterial small subunit ribosomal RNA", at positions 525 to 775 of the family's 1533-position model. The record is from RNAcentral.